CCUACGGGUGACAGCAGUGAGGAAUAUUGGUCAAUGGACGAGAGUCUGAACCAGCCAAGUAGCGUGAAGGAUGACUGCCCUAUGGGUUGUAAACUUCUUUUAUAUGGGAAUAAAAUGUUCCACGUGUGGGAUUUUGUAUGUACCAUAUGAAUAAGGAUCGGCUAACUCCGUGCCAGCAGCCGCGGUAAUACGGAGGAUCCGAGCGUUAUCCGGAUUUAUUGGGUUUAAAGGGAGCGUAGGUGGAUUGUUAAGUCAGUUGUGAAAGUUUGCGGCUCAACCGUAAAAUUGCAGUUGAAACUGGCAGUCUUGAGUACAGUAGCGGUGGGCGGAAUGCGUGGUGUAGCGGUGAAAUGCUUAGAUAUCACGAAGAACUCCGAUUGCGAAGGCAGCUCACUGAACUGCAACUGACACUGAGGCUCGAAAGUGUGGGUAGCAAACAGGAUUAGAUACCCCUGUAGUC
Molecule: ribosomal RNA, 460 nt
Filed under: uncultured bacterium
Lineage: Bacteria
Description: partial 16S ribosomal RNA
Rfam family: Bacterial small subunit ribosomal RNA
Source: RNAcentral